This 65-nucleotide transfer RNA is filed under the name Cavia porcellus (domestic guinea pig). It matches the Rfam family "tRNA". From Rfam's summary of the family: Transfer RNA (tRNA) molecules are approximately 80 nucleotides in length. Their secondary structure includes four short double-helical elements and three loops (D, anti-codon, and T loops). The record is from Rfam by way of RNAcentral. Lineage: Eukaryota; Metazoa; Chordata; Mammalia; Rodentia; Caviidae.
GGGGAUUUAGCUCAGCGGCAUACUGCGCCUGCCUUGCAAGCAGGCAGUCGUGAGAUCAAUCCCCA